AAGUAAGAAGCAAAAUAAUUUGUGAUCAGUUUCGACCUGAUAGAUGAUUUAAUUACUAA
RNAcentral lists this transfer RNA (59 nucleotides) under Sinomantis denticulata. RNAcentral's name for it is "tRNA-Arg". The record is from RNAcentral. Lineage: Eukaryota; Metazoa; Arthropoda; Insecta; Mantodea; Nanomantidae.